Molecule: transfer RNA, 76 nt
Filed under: Lachnospiraceae bacterium NK3A20
Lineage: Bacteria; Bacillati; Bacillota; Clostridia; Lachnospirales; Lachnospiraceae
Description: tRNA_Phe_GAA
Rfam family: tRNA
About the family: Transfer RNA (tRNA) molecules are approximately 80 nucleotides in length. Their secondary structure includes four short double-helical elements and three loops (D, anti-codon, and T loops). Further hydrogen bonds mediate the characteristic L-shaped molecular structure. tRNAs have two regions of fundamental functional importance: the anti-codon, which is responsible for specific mRNA codon recognition, and the 3' end, to which the tRNAs corresponding amino acid is attached (by aminoacyl-tRNA synthetases). tRNAs cope with the degeneracy of the genetic code in two manners: having more than one tRNA (with a specific anti-codon) for a particular amino acid; and 'wobble' base-pairing, i.e. permitting non-standard base-pairing at the 3rd anti-codon position.
Source: RNAcentral
GCCCAGAUAGCUCAGUCGGUAGAGCAGAGGACUGAAAAUCCUCGUGUCGCUGGUUCGAUUCCGGCUCUGGGCACAA